GGCUCAGGAUGAACGCUGGCGGCGUGCCUAAUACAUGCAAGUCGAGCGAAUGGAUUGAGAGCUUGCUCUCAAGAAGUUAGCGGCGGACGGGUGAGUAACACGUGGGUAACCUGCCCAUAAGACUGGGAUAACUCCGGGAAACCGGGGCUAAUACCGGAUAACAUUUUGAACUGCAUGGUUCGAAAUUGAAAGGCGGCUUCGGCUGUCACUUAUGGAUGGACCCGCGUCGCAUUAGCUAGUUGGUGAGGUAACGGCUCACCAAGGCAACGAUGCGUAGCCGACCUGAGAGGGUGAUCGGCCACACUGGGACUGAGACACGGCCCAGACUCCUACGGGAGGCAGCAGUAGGGAAUCUUCCGCAAUGGACGAAAGUCUGACGGAGCAACGCCGCGUGAGUGAUGAAGGCUUUCGGGUCGUAAAACUCUGUUGUUAGGGAAGAACAAGUGCUAGUUGAAUAAGCUGGCACCUGA
RNAcentral lists this ribosomal RNA (470 nucleotides) under Bacillus sp. R-45706. Its description in RNAcentral is "bacterial SSU rRNA". It matches the Rfam family "Bacterial small subunit ribosomal RNA", at positions 21 to 482 of the family's 1533-position model. Lineage: Bacteria; Bacillati; Bacillota; Bacilli; Caryophanales; Bacillaceae. The record is from RNAcentral.